GAGUCUGUAGCCUAGCUGGAUUAAGGCAACGGCCUUUUAAGCCGUGAGACGUGGGUUCGAGUCCCACCGGACUCA
This 75-nucleotide transfer RNA is filed under the name Acidobacteriota bacterium. Its description in RNAcentral is "Acidobacteria bacterium (activated sludge metagenome) tRNA-Lys". It matches the Rfam family "tRNA". From Rfam's summary of the family: Transfer RNA (tRNA) molecules are approximately 80 nucleotides in length. Their secondary structure includes four short double-helical elements and three loops (D, anti-codon, and T loops). Further hydrogen bonds mediate the characteristic L-shaped molecular structure. tRNAs have two regions of fundamental functional importance: the anti-codon, which is responsible for specific mRNA codon recognition, and the 3' end, to which the tRNAs corresponding amino acid is attached (by aminoacyl-tRNA synthetases). tRNAs cope with the degeneracy of the genetic code in two manners: having more than one tRNA (with a specific anti-codon) for a particular amino acid; and 'wobble' base-pairing, i.e. permitting non-standard base-pairing at the 3rd anti-codon position. The record is from RNAcentral. Lineage: Bacteria; Pseudomonadati; Acidobacteriota.